Molecule: non-coding RNA, 82 nt
Organism: Lentinula aff. lateritia
Lineage: Eukaryota; Fungi; Basidiomycota; Agaricomycetes; Agaricales; Omphalotaceae
Source: the annotation of a GenBank genome assembly
GGUCUAAUAGUGUAGAGGUUAUCACAUGGGAUUUUGACGUGGGAUAUUUCCCAUAACCCAGGUUCGAGUCCUGGUUAGACCU